GCUUGCUUCUGCUCAGACCCUUCCGCCAUGCCAUUUUUUGCCUAGAGCCAUCUGACCAGAGAUUGUAACCCUGAGCCAAAAUACAUUUCUCCUCUUUGAGGUUGUGAAUGUUGGGUAUUGAGUGUCAGCAAUGAGAAAGCGACUCAGACAUACAUUCAGAUUUUUAAAAUCAAAAUCAUUGCUAACUAUAAAUUAUAUCUGUUCCUUUGAAUGAGAUGAGCUUCAAGAAAAGAAUACUUCCACUAAAUCGGUGGAUACAGUUACUUAAUAAAAAUAUGACGUUUCUCUGCUAUGCUAGGUACUGAUGGAAGGGAAGUAACUGGUGACCCGAGUCAUUGAGAAAGACCUAACAUCGGCCAGGGUCUCCCAAAAAUUCACUCAGCCGCGUCAUAAGAAGACACAUGAAAUCCUCUGUAAAGAACUGUCCUAGAGAAGUACAGGGAAUGAGGGGCUGUCAGGAGAGAUACAGAGAAGAGAUACAGAAAGGACCAGAAACAAACAAUUUCUUUGGUCAUUUGCAAAAUAAAAGGUUUCUUUUCUUCCUUUAAUCUUCAUGGAGACUCUACAGAUGUUGGGAAUUGCAGUGAAGAGAAGGAAAGCUGAGCUUUCGCAGGCAACAGCCCUGAUUGUCUCAAAAAGAGGAGAAAAUGAUAUUAGCAACAGAGUGAAUGGAAUAGGGAGGGCUCAGAAGCUUUAAGGAAAAUGGGAAGUGUCUGCGUGGCUGCUCUGGUGACAUCAACAGGAAACCAACGUGGGAAGGAGAGUUACGGAGCUGCACUGAGCACGUAAGAUAACUGAACUCUGUCAACUUCUCCCUGGAAUUCCACAAGUCAGCUUCUACCAAGACUGAGCCCACCACUACACCAAUAGUAAUAAUGAGGGAGGGGGGGGAGGGAAAAAGGCGGGGGAGGGAGAAAGGAGAGAGGGAGGGGGGGGGGCUUAGGAAGAAUCACUUAUUCGGUAAAAUUCAAACCAAUAUUUUUUGUUUUGUUUUUUGAAAUAAGGUCUCCUUAUGUAGUUCAGGCUGGCCUUGAACUCAUGAUGUAGCUGAGGCUGACCUCAAACAUAGUGAUCCUUCUGCCUCAGCCUCCUGAAUGCACCACCAUAUCCAUCUCAAAAUUUCUACCAAUUUUUAAAGAUCAGCCAG
Molecule: long non-coding RNA, 1147 nt
Filed under: Fukomys damarensis (Damara mole-rat)
Lineage: Eukaryota; Metazoa; Chordata; Mammalia; Rodentia; Bathyergidae
Description: lncRNA (ENSFDAG00000026137.1)
Source: RNAcentral